AGGAAGGUAGUGUAGUUAACACCUGCAUUAUUUGACGUUACCUACAGAAGAAGACACCGGCUAACUCCGUGCCAGCAGCCGACGGUAAUACGGGAGGGUGCGAGCGUUAAGUACGGAAUUACGUGGGACGUAAAGCGCAUGCAGGCGGCCUGUUAAGUACAGAUGUAGAAACGGCCCGGGGACCGUUUAACCGUACGGUAAGUUGCUAUUUAGUAAACGUGGCGAGGCUAGAGUCUUGUAGAGGGGGGUAGGAAUUUCAGGUGUAGCGGUGAAAUGCGUAGAGAUCUGAAGGAAUACCAGUGGCGAAGGCGGCCCCCUGGACAAAGACUGACGCUCAGAUGCGAAAGCGUGGGGAGCAAACAGGAUUAGAUACCCUGGUAG
This 381-nucleotide ribosomal RNA is filed under the name uncultured bacterium. RNAcentral describes it as "bacterial SSU rRNA". It matches the Rfam family "Bacterial small subunit ribosomal RNA", at positions 441 to 793 of the family's 1533-position model. The record is from RNAcentral.